Molecule: ribosomal RNA, 116 nt
Filed under: Pteropus alecto (black flying fox)
Lineage: Eukaryota; Metazoa; Chordata; Mammalia; Chiroptera; Pteropodidae
Source: RNAcentral
AUCUACGGCCAUGCCAUCCUGAACGAGCCCAAUGUCUGAUCUCAGAAGCUAAGCAGGGUUGAGCCUGGUUAGUACUUGGAUGGGAGACCACCUAGGAAGACUAGGUACUGUAGGCA